Molecule: ribosomal RNA, 253 nt
Filed under: uncultured bacterium
Lineage: Bacteria
Description: partial 16S ribosomal RNA
Rfam family: Bacterial small subunit ribosomal RNA
Source: RNAcentral
GACGUAGGAGGCGAGCGUUGUCCGGAUUCAUUGGGCGUAAAGAGCGCGCAGGCGGUUUGGCAAGUCGGACGUGAAAAUCCGGGGCUCAACCCCGGACCUGCAUCCGAAACUGCCCGACUAGAGGUAGGUAGGGGAGAUCGGAAUUCCUGGUGUAGCGGUGAAAUGCGCAGAUAUCAGGAGGAACACCGGUGGCGAAGGCGGAUCUCUGGGCCUUACCUGACGCUCAGGUGCGAAAGCUAGGGGAGCGAACAGG